GGGAAGGCUUGGAGGGCUAAGCAGAAGGCUAUGGAGGAAAGGUUUGGGACGUUCUUCGACUCAUAUGAUAAUGUUGUCCGUCUCCUGGGCAUACUGAAGGAAAGGAAUCCGGGCACUUAUGUGAACGUACAACACAUGAGGUUGCUGAGUAUACCAGAUUUCAAGGUGUUGAAACGAGUGUUCUUCUCAUUUGCUAUGUGCAUCGAAGCUUUCCGGCAUUGUCCUCCUGUUAUGUUUGUGGAUGGUACAUUCCUGACCGGUCAGUAUAGAGGGCAAAUCCUUACUGCUAUUGGUGUGGACGGGAACAAUCAAAUCAUCCCACUUGCCAUGGCAUUUGUGGAGGGUGAGAACUUUCUCAGCUGGGUUUGGUUCUUCCGCCAAGUGAAAAUUGCCAUCGUGAAGGACCGACCAAACGUGUGUGUCAUUCAUGACAGACAUGCUGGUAUAUUGAAGGCCGUGAAGACACUUCGGAAUCCA
This 477-nucleotide ribosomal RNA is filed under the name Triticum aestivum (bread wheat). Its description in RNAcentral is "partial small subunit ribosomal RNA". Lineage: Eukaryota; Viridiplantae; Streptophyta; Magnoliopsida; Poales; Poaceae. The record is from RNAcentral.